AGAAGAAGAUGGAGUUUGCUAAACUCUAAUCUCGAUUGAAACCCAAUCUCCACUGUUUUUAAUUCAUUCCGAGACCGUAACCACCGCGGAACAACACACUCCACACAUCCUUGUUUCCGAGACCAACAGUUGCUCACAUACAAGGAGGAGAUUUGAGGAUUCAGAUGGCAGCAGAUUCAGUUGGAGGGUCGUCACCUGGGAAGAGCUGAGCGCAGCAGACGGAGGAGAGGUACCACCUGCAUCUUGCGCUGGCGUUUAUGGAAAAAUGACGAACGAUAACAACACCCCCCAUUGAUGUCACAACAACUCCACUCAACGUUGCAGCCAUUGAUACAACUGUGACAACCGUUGGAAACAUCACAGCGUCAACCGCUGCAGCAAUAACAAGCACUAUCCUCCUUGCGGGAAAUGCUGCUGAUGAAACCACUCGCCGUAGCCUAUUCGGUGCUUGUCUUUAUCAGACGGGCUCAGUUUCAGCAACCGCAAGUGGUCUGGUGGCAGUUCAAACUCCUCCGGCUGUCCCUAGUGUUUUCACUCAAGGAUUGAUGCCAGACAAGUUUGAUGGCAAAGGCUUCAAAACGUGGCAGAAGAAGAUGAUGUUCUUCCUGACA
This is a long non-coding RNA of Brassica oleracea var. oleracea, 611 nucleotides long. RefSeq lists it as uncharacterized. The record is from RefSeq and is a predicted model, not a curated record. The transcript is spliced from 3 exons. Lineage: Eukaryota; Viridiplantae; Streptophyta; Magnoliopsida; Brassicales; Brassicaceae.